Molecule: long non-coding RNA, 415 nt
Organism: Lolium rigidum
Lineage: Eukaryota; Viridiplantae; Streptophyta; Magnoliopsida; Poales; Poaceae
Exons: 3
Source: RefSeq, a predicted model, not a curated record
GACCACCCAUGGUUCCUCUCUUCAUGGUUGUCAUCGUCCUAGACCCUAGAGAUUGAGCCAGUCUUAGAAUCUACCAUCUUCAAUCAAGGCAUUCGUGAGAGUAAUUAUGGGAAGUUGCAAACACUUGGUUGGGAAAGGAAUAGCCGAACUGAUAAAACGGUAUACAUUCACUAGCUACAAUGAUAUCUCUGAAGUAGAUGUAGAUAGAACAUGGGAGAAGGAUCUUGAUGGCAUUGCUCUUGUGGAUUUCAUUAACUCGAUUUAACAUCAAAUUAUUCCUUCCGUAGAUGGCUCAGGUUAUGUGGAUUUUCUUUCUAAACUUCUGUUGCUCUUGACAUAUCUCCAUGAGUGUUUGCUACUAUAAUAUAUACCUCGGUUUUCCUGGUUGUAUAUAAAUAUUCCUACUUUGUUUUUA